Molecule: long non-coding RNA, 2218 nt
Organism: Rosa chinensis
Lineage: Eukaryota; Viridiplantae; Streptophyta; Magnoliopsida; Rosales; Rosaceae
Exons: 2
Source: RefSeq, a predicted model, not a curated record
CUUUUGUUAAUUAAAGAUCAUCUAAUUCAAUUAUUUGUAUGUAUAUGAAAUUUGCUUUCACUUUGUAGUGUUUCCUGUAGCUUUUGAAUAGUUCCAAGAACCAAACUUUUUUGGCACUCUAAACCAGACAGAGGAAACUAAAACAAAUAAAAAAGAUCUGGUUUUUAAUCUUAUUUCAUCUUCAUUGUUAAACCAAAGCUAUGUGAUUCCGUCUAAUCUGUAUCCACUUUUCUGGAUAAGAAUCUUAGUGUAUAUAUUUAUCUGUAUGUGUACAUAUAUGAAAACUAUGGAGUAAUUGAUAAAUUAUGUACAAAUGAUCAAUGUUGUGUGAUUGAGUGAUCAAAAUUGGGAAUUCAUUUGGACAAAUUGGUUUUUGGUUUUCUGUCAGAGUUUCCGCUGAAGUACAAUUUUUGGCAAUGUCAUAUAAUAGUUUAGGUUUCAUAAUGGAGUUGUUUGGGUUGUGUUUACUGAAUUUUGGAGUUUCAUAAUGCAUAGAGAAUGGAGCAAAAAUCAUACCAAGAAUGGAAUUCGGAUUGAGCUCUCACAUAUUUCAUUUCUUUGUGUAAAUAAUUGUUGUUUUCUUUUGUAUUAUACAUGUUUUCAAAAAAUGGUGGCAUGAUGUUUUUGAAUAGGUAGAUUCUUCGGUUUAGAUUGAUCAAGUGUACCUUCUUUAGGGGUAGAAACAUAUACCGCUUAGGACUCAGUAGUCUUAAGAGAUUUUUUUUUGAACUUUGGGAAAGGUUCAGAAAAAUCAAGAUAAAAAGUUAUGUAAUUAAUAUUAUCAAUGCAGUUGACAAUGAUAGUUGGGAUGUAAGUCUCUAAAGUCCCAUCUUUGAUCAGAUUUAAAAUGUCAGCAGCACAAUUGCAGGAAGUGAAAUUGAGAAAAAUCGCAAGACCUGGAAACAAAGUGGCUCAUCGUUUAGCCAAAGAAGGCAUACACAUUAGGGAAUCAGCCUUUUAGAAGGAAAGUAACCUCCCAUUGGUUGAAAAUCUUAUCAGAGAAGAUAUAUCCAGUUGAUGUAGAGAAGGAAUAACCUAUUUAAGCAUUUUGUUUUGACCAAGAGUUGUCAGUUGUGUUUCAGUUUUCAUUCUAAUGAAAGCAAUUUCAUUUUAAUCAAAAGAAAAAAGAAAAAAAAAACAAGAUUUGCCUUUUUUAAAAACAACAAAAGCAUGUGUUGAGUAAAAUGGUUAUGAGUUUUGUAUAUUUUGUUUGUUUUGUUUACAAUUGUUGUUGCUGUUUCUUGUAACUUUAUUUUUCUUUAGCUGUUGAAAAUUUCAUUUGUUGUUUUUUCUGUAGUUGGAGCUCAAAAGUUACAUAUAUUCAAGAAAUUGUGAAGACCAGCUUUUUUAAACUCACACACAUUUAUCACUAUAAUCUAUAUGUUACUGCACUAUCAUAUUGAAUCUGGACAUUAAUAGUUUAUAGUGAUCAACACGACCAUUGAAUCUGGGUUUUCUUUCUUCUUGGAUCCUUCUUAGCUGUGUGAUGUACAGUUUGUUUUUCAUUUUGGGUACAAUUGGAACAAAAUUUUCUUUUCAAUUCCAAUUCAAUUCUCUUUUCCUGACUUCAUUUCUUGGAAAUAUCAAGUCUAUUUUAUAUUUUUCUUCUGCUUAAUGAGCAGCAACAUGGUUGGCGAACAAUACCAAUCAUUAAGUGAAACACUUAGAAGUAAUAUGUCCUUUCAAAUUAAAGCUUUUUAAUGCUCUAAACCUUUUGAGUGCUCUUAAAUCAGAAGUUAAUCAAGACAGAAUCAUACCGGUAGCUUUUAUAAUAUUUAUUGAUAAUGCACAAAUUAGUCACUAUACUUCCUUGAACAUGGGCAUAUUCCUUUCUUUCCGCUUGGACAUGCGGACAUGCAUGUCUUCCCUUUACUUUAAUAUCUUUUCUUUUUGUUUUUCUUUUUCUUUUUUGGAAGUUAACUGAUGAAAAGACAUGAUUCAUUCUGGAUUAUGCACUGAUUAUGUUCCAUGAAUGAGAUGCAUUGUUAGAUACUGUGAUCUUUUGCUUUCUGUCAUUACAAAUCUGUACUCUGAGCUCACUCUCUUCUGUCAGCUCCCAGGUCUUCAUCUGCUGCUUCUUAACUAGAGAAGAGGCUCAGAAAUCAUUGAUGUUGAACAGCAGCAGAGGAGCAAUAGUGACAGCUUUUUCGAUAUUGAAGAGCUCCUGCAGAUUGGGACCAGAUGCAGAGGGGUGUGGUUUCUGCUUUUCAAAGUAAAA